CAACCCCCUGAUUCUUAUCCACAGGGACUCUCUACCUUAUCAUUCGCAACCCAAAGCUCAACAACAUCGAAACACUCUCUAACAGAGAGAGCCAUGCCACCGCCCCUCCUUUGUUGCCUGUCUCUUCUGAAGAGCUUGUAGCCAUCCAUUGCAGCACUCCAGUCACGGGAGUAGUCCCACCACAUUUCAGUGAUGGCGACUAGGUCAUAGUUUGCCUGCCACACAAUAACUUCCAGCUCCUCCUGUUUGUUCCUCAUGCUGCAUUAGUGUAAAUGCACUUCAGCUGAGCCAUUACCCUCACCCUCAACCCUGGCAUUGUUCCCCCAGUCUCAUCUCUGUCAAGCCUCAUUUCAACCCCAUCCCUCUUCAUACCAAGUUUAAAGCCCUCUAAACGAGCCAUGCCAGCUUCUGGGCUAGGAUUCAUUUACCCCUUUCAGACAGGUGGGACCCAUCGGCAGCCAUCAGGCCAGGUGACAAGUAAAUUGCCCCAUGGUCAAAAAAAUACAGUAUUCCCGUGAUGGCACCAGCCUCUCAGCCAUGUAUUUAUCAGCUGGGUUUUUUGGGUCCUCUCCAUAUCGCUCCCUGCUACUGACGGGAUAGAGGAAAACACAACCUGCACUCCUACUCCAUCCACUAACCACCUCAAUCCCUUGACAUCCCUUUUGAUAGCCUUCACUUUGAGACCAACAGUCCAACCAAUUUUUCACUGUUAUGUUUCAACCUUAUAAGCUGUUACUAGGUUCAUCUUUGCGGAAAAGAAAAAAAUAUAUUCAAAACUGGAAAAAAUUGUGGCAUGACUGUAUUUGGAAAGAAUACCAGCUGUGUAUGUAGUGUUGAAACAGGAAUCUGGUUCUUAGGACAGGAGAGACUAACCACAUCACAGAGCUGAUCAGGACUGCCAGCUGCACCGCGGGGCAGGCCUGCUAGCCAGUACCCAUGCUUGCCUUCACUUGUGCACACAAUUUACCUGCAAACUAUUUUGGAGCUACUCCAACAGUGGUACAAUACUUACAGUUAAAUGAAAACAUCCCAGGUACAUGGAAAUGUUUGGGCUCAGUGCCUUUGCCUCACUCAGUCUUCUGUAUUCAUCUGUUUUACUCCCGUCACAGGUUGUAUCUGACAGGGAAGACAAGAAAAUCAUGUGAUCAUGGAAUUUUGUUACUCCAUUUGUAAACAAUGACUGGGUUAUAUUCUGGAAACUUUA
This 1204-nucleotide long non-coding RNA is filed under the name Anser brachyrhynchus (Pink-footed goose). RNAcentral's name for it is "lncRNA (ENSABRG00000006214.1)". The record is from RNAcentral. Lineage: Eukaryota; Metazoa; Chordata; Aves; Anseriformes; Anatidae.